Molecule: unclassified non-coding RNA, 666 nt
Filed under: Hippospongia ammata
Lineage: Eukaryota; Metazoa; Porifera; Demospongiae; Dictyoceratida; Spongiidae
Description: sequence contains ITS1, 5.8S rRNA gene, ITS2
Rfam family: 5.8S ribosomal RNA (bases 289-443)
Source: RNAcentral
CGUAGGUGAACCUGCGGAAGGAUCAUUAACAAAUCCUAGCCGUUGUUGUCUCCGUGCGGCAGCGGUGAAAUACCGUGCACCGGGAGCCGAAGAUGGGAGAAAGUCUCGCUUGAUUCGUUGGAGGUGUGCUGCCGGCAUUGAAUUGGGUGCUGCACUUAAAUCGUGGGGAAUCAGUCGCACACUGCCCCCGAGCCUCGAAUUAAGCUCUCCUAUCUUUGGUUUUUUUUUGAAACUUUUAAGAAACUUUAUGGUUUGGUGGUGACUUGCGUUGGUCGGAAAAAUUUUGACAACUUCUGACGGUGGAUCUCUUGGCUCGUGCAUCGAUGAAGAACGCAGCAAGCUGCGAUACAUAGUGUGAAUUGCAGAAUUCAGUGAAUCAUCGAGUCUUUGAACGCAAAUGGCGCUCCCGGGGUCCCCUCGGGAGCAGGUCUGUCCGAGCGUCCGCCAAUUAACUGUGUUGUCAUACCGCCGGUGUGUGACAAGAGUGAGGAGCUGUCGUGUGUGGCACGCACGGCACUCCUUGAAGAACACGUGUUCCACGCAGUGUGGCCCGUGCGACGGUGCGCCGGCAGGACGAUCGUCACGACGGCAUCGCGAUGAGUCUCGUGCGAUUGUGUCCUGGCGACGCCGCGMCGCCGGCUCGAUGUCUGGAACUGUUGGGACGUU